This is a long non-coding RNA of Trifolium pratense (red clover), 1185 nucleotides long. RefSeq lists it as uncharacterized. The transcript is spliced from 2 exons. Lineage: Eukaryota; Viridiplantae; Streptophyta; Magnoliopsida; Fabales; Fabaceae. The record is from RefSeq and is a predicted model, not a curated record.
CAAUUUGAUUUCUGAUGUUACACCACAUUAUUAUAAGUUUAUUAUUAGACAAUUAGUGGAAAAGUGUUGGCCACCAAAAGUCUUGAAUUUUGUUUGUUAAGGAGAAAAUUAGGUAAGUUGGAACUUAAAAAGUUUAUAGAGUUAGAAUAAAUAUCAAGGUUGGUACAACAAAUGAUACUUUGGACUAGUAGUGUGAAGCAAAAGAGGAGUAUAUAUAGCCCGGGCGCUGGGCCAAGACCGUCGAAGGGCAACUCUUGCUGCAAUUUUCAGAACGUGUUUCAUUGUUUCUCAUAUUUUCAGAUAAGGCAACUAUUGUGUUUAGGGGUGGACAAGGCCCGUUAAACCAGCCCAACCCGCACUGACCGAAAAUAAAAAAACGAAUUGGGUCGGAUCUGGACGGUUUAACGGGUUCGCGGGUCUGUUUUGCGGUUUCUAGUGAGUUUACACGGUCGGGUCCGGUUCAAUAAAAUGGAACCACGGAUACCCGAACCGAACCGUGUUUACUAUUUUAUUUUUAUUUUUUAUUACUAAUAUGAUGACAUCCUUUUUAGUCUUUACUUUUUUACGCUUAAUAUUUUCCAAUUUCUUUUGUUUCCUCUCUCACUCACUCUUUUCCACUGCCAAACCCUAGCCGCCGCCGUGCACUCCCUCCUUCUCCUCCGUUUUCUCAACUCUUUCUCCACCGUCCCAUCCAUCCACUGCCGUCAAACUCAAAGUAUCUACCAUCCUUCUCAUCAAUUUUUCUUUGUUUGAUUUACUGGGUUUUGUUGUUUUUAAGUUUUCACAAAUCUUUAACAGUUUUCUUUUUGUUUUUCUAUCAUCCCUACACAAGAAGUAAGAUAUAAAACUGCUCAUGGUUGAGGAACAAAGAGGCUACAUGAAAAAUAAUAUAAUCUUUAGAUCGACAAAUUUCUCUUUAGAUCUACAUGGUAAAUAAAUUUUUUUCAGAUCUUACAAUAUGUCCUUGUUGGAUCCAUAGAUCUGUGAAGUUGUAUAUUGAGAUAGGAAACUCUAAGGACCGGAGGUUUGAAUGAAGAAAAAAAAUGUUUAGAGUGAAAUUGACAAGUCAUGUUGGCAUUGGAAUAAUUCCUUCAAGUGUUUAUGAAUUUUAAGUGUUGUAAUAUUUUUUAAUAGUGUUUUGUUGAAUAUAUAAUGUUAUUGAAUGUAUUUUAUAUAGUUUGUUAA